AAAAAAGCACAGAUGGGAAAGAGUAACAUAGGGAAAACAGACAGAGAGCUGCCGGCAGGUGAGAGGCGCGUGGGGAACUUAUGUGAAUACCUCCCGGAGCUCUGCACCGAACACCUCAGAGAUAUUGUAAGGUAAGUAGGCUGCAGCGGAGUGGCAUCCGUUAACAUGCUUAAGUAACAGAGAGAACCGUUGUUUAUCAUAACAAUGGCAUGGUUUGUUACUUAUUGAGGCAGAGAAUGCGAGUUUUCUGCGAAUUUAGGUGGUAUCGCGGGACCCGGUUCUCGUCCUAAAU
This 292-nucleotide non-coding RNA is filed under the name Ruminococcus sp. RNAcentral's name for it is "T-box sequence". It matches the Rfam family "T-box leader". Rfam says of the family: Uncharged tRNA acts as the effector for transcription antitermination of genes in the T-box leader family. T-boxes are found upstream of many aminoacyl-tRNA synthetase genes and some amino acid biosynthetic genes usually in Gram-positive bacteria. Lineage: Bacteria; Bacillati; Bacillota; Clostridia; Eubacteriales; Oscillospiraceae. The record is from RNAcentral.